Long non-coding RNA from Poecilia latipinna (sailfin molly), 1420 nucleotides. RefSeq lists it as uncharacterized. Lineage: Eukaryota; Metazoa; Chordata; Actinopteri; Cyprinodontiformes; Poeciliidae. The transcript has 2 exons. The record is from RefSeq and is a predicted model, not a curated record.
CUGGCGAACGCUCCGCCCACUCGCCGAAUCAUCCGUUAAUUGACAGUUGAGAGCCGCUCGAUGAUUGGCUACAUCCUUGCAACGGUGUUUCUACAGCCAGGCGGUCAGUCAAACCCCACCCCUCCCUCCAUCUGCACCCCUCAACGCAGCACCUGGAUUACCUACUGGGAGAGCACCGAGAGCCCUUUAUAUCCAGCAUCAUCAAAAGGCUAAUUUCUCACAUAUUUGCAUAUCCUUUGGAGCCAUUUCAUAUUGUAAUAGUACGUCAGUAGCAAAAAACAUGAACAGUUAAUACCCAUCACAUCGGUAUCAUUCGUUCCUAUAUGGACCGAACCGACCCGUUUCCCUACAUGUGAAGUUCUGUUUUUAUGCGAGAUCUGCUGGGCGUUGACAAGACAUCAAGCUGGUCCACCUGGUUUCAACACGAGCCUUCAGCUGCAGGUGCAUUUCUACUAUUGAAACCUAAGAUCUAGACAUAAACAGGAAAGCAGCAAACAUUCAAGCUGCAAUAAGCAGGAUUUUUACCUGAUAAGUGGCAUUUAGUUAUUUUCAGCAAUUUUUUUCACCCCUAAUCGCGUCCAUUAUGAAUGCGUAACUAAUGCUUUUCAUCACCUUAAACAUUGCAGACAUCAGAAGUGGAGGGAACAGAUGGAUGGAUGGGGGAGUUACUCGAUGCGACGAAGAUAAAACAAGCGAGAGCAGACGCCCCCUCCCCUCUCCUCUCCUCCAAUUUUGUGCUGCAGUUUCCUAGCAACAUGAGGCUGGAGUGGAAAUGGUGAAGUGAUGCUGCUGCAUUUUAUGAAUGAAACUGGAAAAAAGAGCGAGUCAGAGCGGGGAGGGGAGAAGACAGGGCCGUUUUUUUUCUUGUUUUUUUUUUCUUCCUCCACUGCUGUUGCUGUGCUUUCUAUUCUCCACGAGUCGAAGCAGAAAGGAGCUGGAAGGCGCAGGGAUAAUCAGAAAAAAAUCCAACAACUUUAUUUAACCUCGCAGUUGAUAAAAAUAAUUAAAAAACAAAACAUGGAGGUAUAUAAUAUAUAGUUAUGCAGUACAAAAUUAAACAACCCCCUCUGCAGAAGGCAAAACAAGCACUAAGUAACAUUAUUUACAAAGAGCCUUUUGAAACCGCAGAACUCGACAUUAACAUGGGAUCCGUUUCUCCUAUAAACCUCAAGUUCAGUGAAUUUUAAACAAAUGGUGGACAAAGUGGGGUUUGCUCAAAUGUGUGGGUUCACCAUUGUAUGUCAAAACUAACAACGGGGUUGUGCCACCUCUCAGGAGGAGACUGAAUUUUUUUUUUGUCUCAUGAGAAGCACCAGAUGAGAUUAUGUUUUUGCAUAAUGAAGAGCCUGAACUGUAUAAAGCUUGUGUUAUAUGUGCAGUGAUGUCCAAUGCUCAAAAGGACAAAGAAAAAAAAAAAAAA